GAUGAAGAACGUAGCGAAAUGCGAUAAGUAGUGUGAAUUGCAGAAUUCAGUGAAUCAUCGAAUCUUUGAACGCACAUUGCGCCCCUUGGUAUCCCGAGGGGCAUGCCUGUUCGAGCGUUAUUUCACCACUCAAGCCUGGCUUGGUGUUGGGCGACGUCCCCUUUGGGGACGCGCCUCGAAACGCUCGGCGGCGUGGCACCGGCUUUAAGCGUAGCAGAAUCUUUCGCUUUGGAAGUCGGGGCCCCGUCUGCCGGAAGACCUACUCGCAAGGUUGACCUCGGAUCAGGCAGGGAUACCCGCUGAACUUAAGCAUAUCAAUAAGCGGAGGA
This 329-nucleotide unclassified non-coding RNA is filed under the name soil metagenome. RNAcentral's name for it is "partial contains 5.8S ribosomal RNA, internal transcribed spacer 2, and large subunit ribosomal RNA". The stretch from base 1 to 120 matches the Rfam family "5.8S ribosomal RNA", at positions 35 to 154 of the family's 154-position model. The record is from RNAcentral.